CCCUUAGAUGUCCUGGGCUGCACGCGCGCUACACUGAUGUGUCCAGUAAGCACCUAACCUCUUCCGAAGGGAACGGGUAACCUUUGCAAAGCACAUCGUGAUGGGGAUAGAUUAUUGCAAUUAUUAGUCUUGAACGAGGAAUUCCUAGUAAGCACAAGUCAUCAGCUUGUGUUGAUUACGUCCCUGCCCUUUGUACACACCGCCCGUCGCUCCUACCGAUUGAAUGUUCCGGUGAGCUCUUCGGACUGCGCGGUCUGCAGUUUCUGCGUUCCGUGCGGAAAGUUGCGCAAACCUUAACAUUUAGAGGAAGGAGAAGUCGUAACA
RNAcentral lists this ribosomal RNA (324 nucleotides) under uncultured eukaryote. RNAcentral describes it as "partial 18S ribosomal RNA". It matches the Rfam family "Eukaryotic small subunit ribosomal RNA", at positions 1470 to 1796 of the family's 1831-position model. The record is from RNAcentral.